Molecule: ribosomal RNA, 834 nt
Filed under: Streptomyces enissocaesilis
Lineage: Bacteria; Bacillati; Actinomycetota; Actinomycetes; Kitasatosporales; Streptomycetaceae
Description: bacterial SSU rRNA
Rfam family: Bacterial small subunit ribosomal RNA
Source: RNAcentral
ACCACUUCGGUGGGGAUUAGUGGCGAACGGGUGAGUAACACGUGGGCAAUCUGCCCUGCACUCUGGGACAAGCCCUGGAAACGGGGUCUAAUACCGGAUACUGAUCCUCGCAGGCAUCUGCGAGGUUCGAAAGCUCCGGCGGUGCAGGAUGAGCCCGCGGCCUAUCAGCUAGUUGGUGAGGUAACGGCUCACCAAGGCGACGACGGGUAGCCGGCCUGAGAGGGCGACCGGCCACACUGGGACUGAGACACGGCCCAGACUCCUACGGGAGGCAGCAGUGGGGAAUAUUGCACAAUGGGCGAAAGCCUGAUGCAGCGACGCCGCGUGAGGGAUGACGGCCUUCGGGUUGUAAACCUCUUUCAGCAGGGAAGAAGCGAAAGUGACGGUACCUGCAGAAGAAGCGCCGGCUAACUACGUGCCAGCAGCCGCGGUAAUACGUAGGGCGCAAGCGUUGUCCGGAAUUAUUGGGCGUAAAGAGCUCGUAGGCGGCUUGUCACGUCGGUUGUGAAAGCCCGGGGCUUAACCCCGGGUCUGCAGUCGAUACGGGCAGGCUAGAGUUCGGUAGGGGAGAUCGGAAUUCCUGGUGUAGCGGUGAAAUGCGCAGAUAUCAGGAGGAACACCGGUGGCGAAGGCGGAUCUCUGGGCCGAUACUGACGCUGAGGAGCGAAAGCGUGGGGAGCGAACAGGAUUAGAUACCCUGGUAGUCCACGCCGUAAACGGUGGGCACUAGGUGUGGGCAACAUUCCACGUUGUCCGUGCCGCAGCUAACGCAUUAAGUGCCCCGCCUGGGGAGUACGGCCGCAAGGCUAAAACUCAAAGGAAUUGACGGGGGCC